This 4278-nucleotide ribosomal RNA is filed under the name Triticum aestivum (bread wheat). RNAcentral describes it as "partial small subunit ribosomal RNA". Lineage: Eukaryota; Viridiplantae; Streptophyta; Magnoliopsida; Poales; Poaceae. The record is from RNAcentral.
AUGGACACCGCCAUAGGCGCGGCCAAGUGGGUGCUGGAGAAGGCGCUGGCCCCGGUCACGGAUGGCUUGCUAGAGUCCUGGGCGGCUAGUGCCGAUCUAGAUCGCAACAUCGACGCCCUCAAGAUGGAGCUACUGUACGCACAUGGGAUGCUCGAGAACGUGCAGGGCAAGGGCAUCCAUGGCGUCGCGCUCAAGGAGCUCCUGCGCAAGCUGCAGCAGCUCGCGUACGGGGCUGAUGAUGUGCUGGAUGAGCUGGAGUACUUCCGCAUCCAGGACUCACUUAAAGGAACCUACCAUGCCGCCGGUGUGAACGAUGUGGGUUGCAUCCAAGGCAUCCGCACCAAUAUUGAACACACGGCGAGGCAUGCCAUCAGCAAACUCGAGUGCCUCCCGUGCUUGGGUGCUGCUAGCCGUGGUGGUGACCAAGAAAUUGAUCCAGGUGAUCACCAAGAUUAUGACCUCUUAGGCAUACGCUUGCGUGGCAGGCGGGGCAUCGGCUCCUCGCCACUGACACCCACCAACAAGGCAGGUGUCAAUAAAGUUGAUGGUGGAUGCAUGCCCAGGGUCAUCUCAAGUGCUCGCAACGCUGCCCACACUUUCGGUAAACACUUUCCAUGCUAUUCUUCCAUAUCUGUCCAUGGUGAUGGUGCUCAAGCUAUCAUGUCUGAGUGUGCAAGCGAGAGAGAUAUAGAAACAAAAGAAUUGAUGUUUGAUAGGGUGCAAAUGUCUCGAACAAUGAUUGACAUGGUAGGGCAGCUGAAGGAAGUAUGUGCUAAGGUCUCCAUAAUUCUUAAUCUAGAUUUGUUGGGAUCCAGCCACAACCGUACCCAAGAAAUUGCUAUAAAAAGAUCAAAAACCACAUCAGAGAUUAUAGAAUAUGAGUUAUAUGGGAGGGAUGACCAAAAAAAGAAAAUUAAAAAUGGCAUUAUUAGUCAUGAGUACUGUCCCAAACAACUUAACGUGCUUCCAAUUUUCGGACCAGGGGGUAUUGGAAAAACAACUUUUACGCAACACAUAUGCCAAGAAGUGAAUAGCUCUUUCCAGGCUUCAAUUUGGAUUUGUGUCUCUCUCGAUUUCAAUGCAGAUAGGUUGGCACAAGAGAUAGUCAACAAAAUUGAUAGAGUUGAUAAUGAAAAGCAGAAUGCUAGUGUCGAAGAACUUAUCAAGCAAAGAUUAAAAGCUAAGAGAUUUUUACUCGUCUUGGAUGAUGUGUGGGCAUAUCAAGAGGAUGAGUGGGAAAAACUAAUGGCACCUUUCAGAAAGGUAGAGUCCAAGGGUAAUUUGAUUGUAGUCACAACUCGAAUACCAAAGGUAGCAGAAAUGGUUAGGACAACCAAUCAUAAAAUAGAACUGGAAAGACUGGGUGAUGCAGAUACCAUGCGUUUCUUUGAAGCAUGUGUAUUUGGUAACGAGCUACAACCAUGGGAAAAACAUUAUGAAUUAUCUGAGACUGGUCGUGAAGUAGUGCACCAUUUGAAAGAUUACGAAUUUGAUAGCAAGGAGUUAGUUCAACUGUGGAUAGGACUAGGUAUUUUGCAUCCAUGUGAUCAGAAUAAAAGGAUUGAAGAUGUUGGACUAGGCCAUUUGCAUGAGUUGGUCAAUUACGGGUUUUUCAAGAAAGACAAAAGAAAAGAUGGUCGUUAUUGUUAUGUUGUUCAUGAUCUACUGCAUGAAUUGGCCACCAAGGUUUUGUCAUAUGAAUGUGUUAGCAUAUCUAGUUCUAAUGUCAGGUCCAUACACAUCUCCCCAUCUGAUUUGAGUGCAUUAGGUAAACGACUGAAAGUUGAAAACCUACGUACUCUGAUGUUGUUUGGACAAUACCAUGGAAGCUUCGCCAAGACCUUUUGUGAUCUGUUUAGGAAAGCUAAAGCCCUUCGCACAAUUGUUCUAUCUGGAGCAUCAUACUCUAUGGAAGACAUUCUGCCUAACUUUUCAGAAACCAUCCAUCUUCGUUACCUUAGGAUUGAGCCAUCACGUAACAUAUGCAACAUCAAUUUGCCUGAUAUGUUGUUCAGAUUUUAUCAUCUAGAGAUACCAAAACUGACCAAGUGGGCUGGAAAUCAAAAUUGUGGGUUCUUCUUCCACCUGGAAGUGCUCAUUAUUGAAGAUUGCCCUGAACUUAAGGAGUUGCCAUUUUCAUGUUCUACUUGCUCUCAACCAAUGCAAGAAGGGGAGAAGUUGACUUGGUUCCCUAGACUACGGGAGCUCAAGAUUGUAAGAUGCCCAAACCUGAGGACAAUGCCUCCUAUCCCUUGGACACGUACUCUAUGCUCCAUUAAGAUAGCAGAAGCAGGCUCGGAUUUUCAGGAGCUCGCUUACUCAAGUAGUCAUUUUAGAAAACCAGGAUAUCGUUUGGUCAUUGAUGCAGAGGAUGGCAAAGAUAGCUUGUUUUGGAAUGAGUUGGCUUUCUGUAAUUUUAGUGAUGUAAAAGAGUUGAUUAUAAGAGAUUGCCCUCCUUUGCCCUUGGAUAUCAUCCAAAUGCUAACAUCUCUGGAGUACAUCAGUAUAGUCGGUCAUUCGAUUAUUGUACAGUGUCCAGUCGGAGGCGAGAGCCAUGUCACGCACCAGGUUCCAGUUGAAGAAGUGUCCAUUAGUAAUAGUGGUGCUAGCGGGAGAGAAUUGACUCAACUGCUCUCUCAUUUCCCGAAGCUCACCAGCCUGAGUAUAAAUGAUUGCGAAAAGAUAACAGAACUUGGUGUGUCGGAUCAGCAGAGUGGAUCACAGCAGCAAGAGACGAAAGAAGAGAAGGAAAUAGUGGCGACGGUAGAAGGAGGACUGCUGUUCUUGCCUACCCAACUACAGAAGUUGAUCCUCCAAAAUUGCCGUCAGCUGAGAAUAUUUCCCAAUUCAGGAGGUCUCCAGCGUCUACACUCCCUCCGCGAAUUGAGUGCAUAUAAUUGCCCCAAUUUGCUUUCAUCCUAUUCGGGCUCCUCGUCUGGUUUCCCUUUCCCGACCUCCCUGGAACAACUCACACUAUCCAACCAGGAAGAACUCGCAAACCUAAGAUUCAGCAGUUCCUCAAGACUGCAUACCCUAUCAAUAGAUGACUCCUCCGGACUUUUGUCAGAGUCCAUCUGCAGCCUGCUCUCCACCUCCCUCACCAGAUUGGUCUUUUUGGGUAGCAAAGAGGUGGAGCCCAUCCCAGGAGAGGCCCUCCUGCUUCUCACCUCCCUCCAAGAGCUCGCAUAUUGUUUCUGCAACAAAUUGCAGUUCCUCCCUGCAGGUCUACAUACACUUGCCAGCAUCAAGUACUUAUCUAUCAGUGAAUGCCCAUCUCUCCAGCUGCUGCCCAAGGACGGCCUCCCAAGUUCUCUGCAGAAAUUAGAGAUCUCUGGAUGUUCCAUGAAAGCAUUGCCCAAGGACGGCCUCCCGAGUUCUCUGCAGCAAUUAGAGAUCUACGAUUGUUCUGAGCUCGAAUUGCUUCCCACUUUUUCGGAUGGCCUCCCAACGUCUCUGCAAAAAUUAGAGAUCGCGAAUUGUCCUGCCAUCAAAUCAGUGCCCAAAGACGCCCUCCCGAGUUCUCUGCAGGAAAUAGUGAUCAAGGGCUGCCCCGGCAUCAAAUCGCUUCCCGAGGACAGGCUCCAAAAAUCCCUGCGAGUAUUAGAUGUCCGUGCUGACAAUAGCGAGGAGCUUAAAAGGCAGUGUCGCAGGUUAAUAGGGGAAAUUCCAAUAAUCAUAACCUCACGAAUCCUUCCAAGUGUAGCAAGUUUCAGAGACAAUUCCAGUAUAGUCAAUUCUGACAAAACCAAGGGCUUGCUUUUUGCCCUUUCGAUUUAUGCAUCCUCUAGCCUGGUUGAAAAACUCAGACACUCGGUCCUCGGACACUCAGUUGCCAGUGCGAGCAUGAAUAGCAUCUUACAUUCUGUGCAUGAUCUGGGCUCUACCUUGGAUUUGCAUAGUUUUGUGCCAUUCAAGGACUCGCUCGAUCCAUCCAUGCAGAGUUCUCACAUGAGGGUCUUGUGGCAUCCCCUGCCUGUACAUAAAUCUGGAUUCCAUCCUGGAACUAUACAUUUUUGCACACUUGUAGUAUUCACUCCAACACUUGAAAGGUUCUGGGAACUACCAGCAAUCAACCCGGGUAAACGGCGUGGUCCUGUCGGUCCAGGCAUACCUGGACUAAAUGUGCUCUCGCAAAUGGUUUUCGAGUUCACUAUGCUUCCACAACCUUUUCAUAAGUUUACAUUUUCAGCCUCAUCGGUACUUGGCAUUGCAUUUCCUACAUUGGGAUCUAGCAUACUCCGCCGGUACAUCCGAACCCCUUGUGGAGUUUCUCACUAA